UUUAGUUAUAAUUGUAGAAGACUAUUUGAUGUGUUAAUUUAAAACUCAAGCCUAGGUUUAAGAUUUGAGCAGGGAUCUUUUGUCAUUGUUGAUGAAGCCACUAAUAAAUGUCAUAUUGAGUAGAGACUUCGGUCAUGAGAUGCUUACAUGAAUUAUCAUAUAUAGCAUUACUGAUGGAUGUUAAGAAUCUUGGUGAAGGAAGAUCUGGAGAUCGAUCGAGUUAAAUUCUAAUCAUAGUGUAUUGGCUCAAUGACUUCUAACCCAUUGAAUUUGAAGUAAAUUCUGUUGGAAGGAAAAUCAAUGUAGAUCUUCUAAUUAAAUUGCUAAGGGAAUACAAGAAUUACCCCCCUUUAAAUUAAACUUAGAUAUUUUGGAUUCUAAGAAGGUUGUGGAG
RNAcentral lists this long non-coding RNA (394 nucleotides) under Phoenix dactylifera (date palm). Its description in RNAcentral is "long non-coding RNA (PDAC_LNC020790)". The record is from RNAcentral. Lineage: Eukaryota; Viridiplantae; Streptophyta; Magnoliopsida; Arecales; Arecaceae.